AUGGGAUGGUGUUGUGCAUGUCCUGGGACGGGAGGAAGGAGGAGCUGGCAUCAGGGAGCAUGGCGACAGCAAGGAAGUCCAUGCCGCGGCACGCCGGAAGCCGGAGGAACGCGCCGCCUUCACGCACGCGCCCUCCACCCCACAGCCGCCAUGGCCCAUGGCAUCGUCGCGCCCCCGUGCCACAAGGCCCGGCUCCCUCAGCUUCGCCGCCGCGCCCUGCGCCCAGCGCCGCGUCCCUGGUCACCUGUUGCUUCCCGCGCUGCCGCCGAUGGUCGAGGGAGGAGAGGGACCCCGCCGCCGCCGAUGGUCGAGGGAGGAGAGGGACCCUGCCGCCGCCAACGAAGGCCGAGCCCGCUGCGUCCCACGCCGCCGCUGCUACUCGAUGGAGGAGAGGGAUCUGUCAGACCCAGAUGGUCUGACGGACUAAAAUUCAGAAAUACACUCAAAAUUCAGAGAACUAGCACCUUCAGGGCUGAAUUUCAGAGGAAAGUUAACUAA
RNAcentral lists this ribosomal RNA (498 nucleotides) under Triticum aestivum (bread wheat). RNAcentral's name for it is "partial small subunit ribosomal RNA". The record is from RNAcentral. Lineage: Eukaryota; Viridiplantae; Streptophyta; Magnoliopsida; Poales; Poaceae.